GACGAACGCUGGCGGCGUGCUUUACACAUGCAAGUCGAACGGAAAGGCCCUGCUUGCCUGGUUCUCGAGUGGCGCACGGGUGAGUAACACGUGUGUGUUCUCCCCUGCACUUCGGGAUAUGCUUGUGCCACUGGGUCUAUUACCGCAUAUGAGCCAUCUUUAGUGUGUUGGUUUGACAGUUUUUUCGGUGUAGGAUGCGCUCGCGGCCUAUCAGCUUGUUGGUGGGGUAAUGGCCUACCAAGGCGGCGACGGAUAGGCGGCCGGGGAGGGUGUACGGCCACAUUGGGAAUGGGAUACGGGGCAGGCUCCUACGGGGGGCAGCAGGGGGGGAUAUUGCGCAAUGGGCGGAAGGCUGAUGCGGCGGAGCCGCGUGGGGGAUGAAGGCCUUCGGGGUGUAAACGCCUUUCGCUAGGGACGAAGCUUGUUUGGGAGGGUGACUAGAUGAGGAGCACCGGGUAAAGACGGU
Molecule: ribosomal RNA, 466 nt
Filed under: uncultured bacterium
Lineage: Bacteria
Description: partial 16S ribosomal RNA
Rfam family: Bacterial small subunit ribosomal RNA
Source: RNAcentral